This 800-nucleotide ribosomal RNA is filed under the name Halomonas sp. Mg43. RNAcentral describes it as "bacterial SSU rRNA". It matches the Rfam family "Bacterial small subunit ribosomal RNA", at positions 60 to 854 of the family's 1533-position model. The record is from RNAcentral. Lineage: Bacteria; Pseudomonadati; Pseudomonadota; Gammaproteobacteria; Oceanospirillales; Halomonadaceae.
AGUCGAGCGGAACGAUGGAGCUUGCUCCAGGCGUCGAGCGGCGGACGGGUGAGUAAUGCAUAGGAAUCUGCCCGGUAGUGGGGGAUAACCUGGGGAAACCCAGGCUAAUACCGCAUACGUCCUACGGGAGAAAGCAGGGGAUUUUCGGACCUUGCGCUAUCGGAUGAGCCUAUGUCGGAUUAGCUUGUUGGUGAGGUAAUGGCUCACCAAGGCGACGAUCCGUAGCUGGUCUGAGAGGAUGAUCAGCCACAUCGGGACUGAGACACGGCCCGAACUCCUACGGGAGGCAGCAGUGGGGAAUAUUGGACAAUGGGCGCAAGCCUGAUCCAGCCAUGCCGCGUGUGUGAAGAAGGCUUUCGGGUUGUAAAGCACUUUCAGUGAGGAAGAACGCCUUGGGGCCAAUACCCCCGAGGAAGGACAUCACUCACAGAAGAAGCACCGGCUAACUCCGUGCCAGCAGCCGCGGUAAUACGGAGGGUGCGAGCGUUAAUCGGAAUUACUGGGCGUAAAGCGCGCGUAGGCGGCGUGAUAAGCCGGUUGUGAAAGCCCCGGGCUCAACCUGGGAACGGCAUCCGGAACUGUCAGGCUAGAGUGCAGGAGAGGAAGGUAGAAUUCCCGGUGUAGCGGUGAAAUGCGUAGAGAUCGGGAGGAAUACCAGUGGCGAAGGCGGCCUUCUGGACUGACACUGACGCUGAGGUGCGAAAGCGUGGGUAGCAAACAGGAUUAGAUACCCUGGUAGUCCACGCCGUAAACGAUGUCGACUAGCCGUUGGGGUCCUAGAGACCUUUGUGGCGCAGUUA